Molecule: non-coding RNA, 2031 nt
Organism: Camellia sinensis
Lineage: Eukaryota; Viridiplantae; Streptophyta; Magnoliopsida; Ericales; Theaceae
Source: RefSeq, a predicted model, not a curated record
AUCAAAUUUUAACUUUUGGGAGUCUUGGGAAGGAAAUUGAGUUAUUCUUGAACUGCCAUCAAGACAAUAAACUUAUUAUGAUUGGUGCGAAUCAUUUGAGGUGUUUUUACCAGUCAUAAGAACUGUAUAUGACCACGUGCUAGUUGUCCAGGAAGCAUGUUUGCCAUUAUUAUGAGUACCUCUCUCUAAUUUCUGAACAGACUGUAUAAAGCAUUCCAGGGAAUAGGAAAUAUUCCAUUUCUCACAUGGCAUUUGAAGGUGGAAGUAUAUUAUUUAAAAUGGAAUCACUACAUAAACGUACACACAGAGAUAAACAACUGCAGAACGUAUAGAAUUGAAAUCAAGAAACAAAGUAGCAACCCAAAUUAUAGUCACUCACACAUUGAUCUUGCAGCCUGUGGAUUACGAGCCUCCAUUCUUCAGAAGCAGCUCAGAACAAGAAGCUUAUAAUCCAUGGACAAAAAAUCCUCUGAAAAUGGAGGUUGGGGAUGUCAACAUCAAGCAUUUUGUAUUAGCUCUCAAGUUAAGGAUAGAAUAUUGCAGGAACACUUGGUCCCUUGUUCGAAAAUUUUAAGUUGAUGUUUGUUAAGAGUGUGCUCGAUCCUUGUAAGGAUGAAAAUGAUGACAUUCAAGAUGAUGAUGUAAGCUUGGGGGCUGAUUCUGUACAAAGGGAGUGUUCUAAAUCUGACAGUGAGGUGAUGAGUUAACGUUACAUCUGUUUUUGGUUCUCAAUGAGCUAAAAUACAUGCUAUAAACUUCAUUUACCAUACAGUAGAAAUGCUUAUAAUAAACCAAUUGUCAAAAUUUGCAACUCAUUUCAGAUUGGCCUUCCGGAAGAUGAUCGAUACAUAGUUGCACCAAAUGAUAAGCAAUGGGCUAAUGAAAAUGGUGGGAUGGUUGAUGAAGAUGAUACUCAAGAUCCAGCAGAAGUUGAACAAUAAUUAGAUUGGGUAAAGGACUGGAUCAGCUGUUAUCACCUUGAGACUAUUGAACUGAUCAAUGUCCUCUCAAAUUUUCGCAGCAUCUCAUUGGUAAAGACCUUUACUUGGUUAAGUGGUGUUAAAGAUCAAUGUUGGUUCAACUGACUAUAUUCAAUUUAUUUUGAAUCUGACAAUUUCUUAAUUUUGUAAUGUUAUGAUAUUGGUAUGCAACUUUAUGGUUGCAGGCUUUGAUUGAAGGUAAAUGACGAUUUGACACAUGUUGAAACUUGUAAAAGAAGGCAUCCAAUCCUGCAUGGUUGCACAUUUUAAACUGUAGAAUAAAUUUAAAAUUUCAUUUUUUAAGUGGUUUUCAGAAAUUAUGAACAAGCUAGUUAAGGAAGGUAUUCUAUCUAAGGACAGAACAGACUGUUACACCAUUGACAAACAAAAGGAAGAAAUGGUUGGCCAAGUUGUCCCAAGCAAGAAAGCUUAGCAGGAUAUUGGUGAAGAUCACAUGUACAUGAAGGUAAGUGUAAUAAUUUUUUUCUUCUUAAUGGAAUAAGUUUUAGGUCUCUAAGCUGACUUAUUUGUUUAAGUAGUUUAUCUCCUAACAAAAAAUGUCACACUAAUUACAUUCCACAUUUUUUCCCUCUCCUAUUUUUUGGUUUUUAUUUACGUUUUAGGUUCUUAUUUGCUGGGAAUCUUAGAGCUUCCUGGGCCCUUUAAGUCCCCUCAUUGUUCUUAACCAUUUGCACUAUGUAGAGAAACUAUGACCAACAAUUUAGAGAUACCUGCUUAUAAGUGAACCUACUAAUCUUAUAAGUUUAUUUUCUCCAAUUUUGCAAUUAACCUUAAUAUCAAAAAAUAAUAGCAGUGGCAUAAAGAGUGAUGUAGUGAUAGUGUAUUCACGACUUUGCUUUGUGUAUGGACAAAUUACCAUGAGCUAAUUCUGGUUAAGUUGAAAACUAAUUUGGGUCAUGGUAGUUAUAUAACUAUUCCAAGCUUUCCCUCCUUUAAACUUGUUCUCUUUUGUGCUCUUUUCUUCUUCUUUUCUCUUUCAUCAUUUCGUCUCUUUCUUCUCUUUCUAUUCACUCUCUAUUUAUAUUUUUUC